GUCGGCCUAGAGAGAAGAGAGAGAGAGAGUGGCAAGCUAGAGAGAGAAAGGGAGAGAAGGGCUGCCAUUUUCUAGAGAGAAUGAGGAAAGAAAGAAGAGAAGGAGGAGAAAGAAAAGGGGUUUCAAAUCUCUAGGAUUUUGAGCAAGGAGGGGGUUCUAAUUUGGGUUCUUGAUUUCUAUCAAGAGAGGGUCGUUGUGAAGUUUGUCAGUUGUGCUUUGCUUGGACCUGAGGUAAGGAAGUUAGAUGGAGAUUUUGAUUGUUUAUACUGUGAAUGGUAAGGUUGGCUUGUGUGAAUAAGAAUGUUAAGAAUGAUGAUGCUUUUGCGAUAUGAAUUGUGAAAUGUUAUUUUGUGUUGAUAUGACUGGAUUGUAUGUUAUGAAAUGGGUGUUAGCGUGAUGUACACGACUCAACAAAAAGGGGGUUACUAAGGAUGUGAAGACGUAACCCGAGUUACUAAGGAUAAGAAGACGUAACUCAUAGGGCGGAUGCGCUGAGGUUAUUCAAGGACUAGAGGUCUUGUUUACCUCAAGAUGUGACAUGGACAAGUUAGCGGGCCAUGUUCACAUGGAUAUGAUGUUAUGUUUAUGAUGACUAUGUAUAUGAUGUUGUGCUAUGAUGAUUAUGUGCAUGAUGAUAAUGGUUACGAUAAUGAUGCUUAUGAUGUAUGACGAUGUAUAAAUAUGAAUAUGUUUUGUUGUGUUUUACUUGUGUGUUAUUUGUACUUCCUUACUGGGCUUUUAGCUCACCCCUUACUUUCCCUUCCAGGUAGAAAAUAAGUUUUCUCUUUGGGACUCAUGGUGAUGUGGGGAGUUCUAUCGUCGAGGUAUGUAUGGCGCGGGGGCAUCCUAUGGACGAGAAACGAUCAAUUAAAUGCCAUUUUCUACAGAAUAAUGUUAUGUUUAUUUUUAACUUUCAGAACUUAUCAGUGGGACUUGAACUUUAAUUAUUUUUAAAACGUUGCAUGAAAACUAUUAUUUUUCUUUUAAACUAUUGGGCCCAACUUACAUGUUUUAGCAAGGCCCCACUAGGACUUUUUAUAAUAAGUGGCUUUUCUUUUGUAAACUUAUGUGCACGUAAAUCUUUUACAAAGUAUUUGACUAGGGCAUUUUACAAAUGGUACCAGAGACAGUCGUCCAUGUUUCCAAGGACCCUCCCCAUACACGCUAAAGACAGAAAAAUCUCACCUCACCGCGCCAUAAGUAUUUGUUUUAUGUGCUAUUACUUGCUUCUAUUUUAUUUAAUUUUAUAGUUUCAUAACUACAGUAUAGUAAGAUGCCUCCCAUUUUGAAAACUACUAAGAAACAACUACUCAAGGAAAUCUGCGCAAUACCCAAGGUCCAGCUUGAGGAGGAUCUUACGAUUGGUAGAUAGCGGUAUUGAAAACAACAAAGGUGGUUUGUGAUCGCAUUCAAGGGAUCAUGAACAAAAGAGGAGCCUUGCUAUGGCCCAUAGAGAAAUAUUGGGUGUUGAGGGAAGCACUGUCAUUGUACUCUGAGGCCCUUCUCCAAUUGGACCAAGCAUGGCAUGACAUCAUUCAAGAUGACCUGAAGUUUAGUACCAUGGAAUACAUAAUUCACGAUCUUAUAGACAACUACAAUUUUAGUCGUCUGGAGCUAGUAUUAGUAAAGAAGAAUGAUAGAGAGAUAGAGGAGCAUUUGGAGACAGUACACGAUGUGGAAGGAGCUUUGGCAAUUGAGGAAGUAACUCGAGUUAUACCACGUGUGACCACUAGGAUGAGGAUAAUGGCGAGCAGUCCUGACUACUUUCACAUCCCAGAAGACAUCUUUGAUUACAAUUCAAGGGACAAGUCCACAGUUGAGGAAUAGAGUCCGUCGCAUAAAUCGUUCCAUGAGACGCUAAUAAAUAAGAUGUGAUAUUUUUAGACCUUAAAGGAUUUAUGUUUUGGUCAUUAAACACUUUUUGGGAUUGUUUAAAUUUUUGGAAUAAUUUGAACACUUUUAAUGCUAUGGUUUAAUUUUGCAAACUCUAAAUGAUGUGGUUAGAAUGAAUGCUUUUUGCAAAUACCUAUCAAACCAUCAUGCGAUGUUCCUUCCUUAUGAUUUUUCCUGUGUUUGCCUUAGAAUCUCAUAAUGUCUACUAGAGGAAUAUGAGGCAAGGGAAGAGGAGGAGGCCAAGGAGAGGGUGUCUCCACAAGGUCUAAAACCACAACAACCCCUGACAUAGAAAUGCCAUCAGUUCAACC
Molecule: long non-coding RNA, 2204 nt
Organism: Humulus lupulus (European hop)
Lineage: Eukaryota; Viridiplantae; Streptophyta; Magnoliopsida; Rosales; Cannabaceae
Exons: 3
Source: RefSeq, a predicted model, not a curated record